Molecule: ribosomal RNA, 253 nt
Filed under: uncultured bacterium
Lineage: Bacteria
Description: partial 16S ribosomal RNA
Rfam family: Bacterial small subunit ribosomal RNA
Source: RNAcentral
UACGUAGGGUGCAAGCGUUAAUCGGAAUGACUGGGCGUAAAGGGUGUGUAGGCGGUUUGUUAAGUCUGAUGUGAAAUCCCCGAGCUUAACUUGGGAACUGCGUUGGAUACUGGCAAACUAGAGUACGUAAGAGGGGGGUAGAAUUCCACGUGUAGCAGUGAAAUGCGUAGAGAUGUGGAGGAAUACCGAUGGCGAAGGCAGCCCCCUGGGACGAUACUGACGCUGAGGCACGAAAGCGUGGGGAGCAAACAGG